UACGUAGGGGGCAAGCGUUGUCCGGAAUCAUUGGGCGUAAAGCGUGUGUAGGCGGAUCGUUAAGUACCUUGUGAAAUCCCACGGCUCAACCGUGGAACUGCUUGGUAUACUGGCGGUCUUGAGCCAGCUAGGGGCUACCGGAACAAAUGGUGGAGCGGUGAAAUGCGUAGAUAUCAUUUGGAACGCCAAUGGUGAAAACAGGUAGCUGGGGCUGUGCUGACGCUGAGACACGAAAGCCAGGGGAGCGAACGGG
Molecule: ribosomal RNA, 253 nt
Filed under: uncultured bacterium
Lineage: Bacteria
Description: partial 16S ribosomal RNA
Rfam family: Bacterial small subunit ribosomal RNA
Source: RNAcentral